RNA transcript from Zea mays, 3168 nucleotides. RefSeq lists it as uncharacterized. Lineage: Eukaryota; Viridiplantae; Streptophyta; Magnoliopsida; Poales; Poaceae. The transcript is spliced from 2 exons. The record is from RefSeq and is marked predicted.
AUCAAUCGUAGUCCAAAAAUAUCAAAGUCGAAAUCGUUUUAAUCUGAUCCAUUUACAUCUUGCCCAGCAUAGUCACGAAAGUUAUCCAAACAAAAUUUAGCCAGAACCUUAUGAACCGUUAUUUCUCUGAUUUUCUGUUUCGUGAUUCGAAGAAUGAAAUGUGUAGCCCGUAUAGUCGAUCCAUUAUACAUCGCUAAAAUCCUAAAAUCAAAAUAUCAUUUAAAUUGAUCCAUUUUAGUCCCGUUUAUUUCUUAAAUUUGGUUAGUAGUGUAUUCCCUAAUUAAAAGAAAGAAAAGGGAGAAAAGGAAAAUUAUCUCGUUGAAAAAUAUCCUCUCCACCGCUUGGACUUCAGCCUCAUUCCGUCAGGGCCGUAGGCCAUCGGCAUUAUUCAAUUGCACCCUGGAGCCGUUGUCCUCAUCCUCUCAGCCGCUAGCUCCGCCUCCUCUCCUCUUCCCGUCAAGUGUACCUGCUGAGCUCAUCCAUGGCCGCCGUCGAUUCUCCAUGGACGGUCUCACGUGCCCUCCCCAUGUCAGCUCGCUCGGUCUCCAGCGCCCGGCCCCAGCUCGGAUCUCAUCCUUCAGCCAUGGAUGUCGGCGCCGCGCCCAGCUCCUCAUCAUGCCGCUCCCUGGGAGUCGUCUAGCCGCGCCCCUGUUCUUUUGGUUGGUGCUCGCGUCCAGCCAUGGACAUCGGCGAGCUCACCCUGGGUUCCACCGGCACUGACCCUGCUCUUCUCUCCCUCAUCUCUGCGACUCGGCGCCUCCUCUGCUCCUCCACCUACAGCUCGCCCCAUCUCCCUGGUGUCGAGCUCGUCCUCCACCUUGCCCAUGGCGCCCGCCCUCCCCAGGUCCGCGCUCUAGAUCUCCCAGUCGAGCUCCCUUCGUCGCGCCCUUCCUUGCUCCUGCUCUGGUCGCCGUCGCCGAGUCCGACCCCAAGCCGUCGAAGCAGCAGCCAUGGCUUUCAGUGCUCGUUUUGGCCACCUCCUCUGCCUCCGAUCCGCGGCGCCGUCGUGGGCUCGCCCCAGCCCUAUAGUCGCCAGUCGUCGUCGCCCUGCCCCUCUGCACGCCAGCGUCCUCUUCCUCAGCUCACCCCGUCAGCCGUCGCGGUGCUCGUUUGGGACCCACCUCUCGCCGGUCGCGCACACCUUGACGUCAUCGGCAAGCAGUCCGUGGCUAAUUCCUUUCCUGUGCCCAUGACUUGGAUCUUCUCUUGCUUGCAGUCGUCGAGGAAGACCCCACCAGUCCCCGCGCCAUCCUUUGCCUCCUUGUCGUGCGCCAUCAGGCAUCAGCCGUGCCUCUUCGGCUCUCUCUGGCUGCCCGGUCGUCAGUUCUUGUGCCGUCGAGGAGCCAUCAGCAUUGUCAUCGGUCCAACAACGUUGUCACGUCUUGCGUUCGCGCUGGAAGAUGAAAGGGAAAAGCUAGAGCAACACUCAUCAAAUAUCGGUGGUAUGCGUGAGCCGUAGGAUUUAGCUUAGGUGAGAUAUUUCGCUAUUCCUGCUAAUUAAUUUGAUUGAUGAGUUGAUUUGAUGGUGAUUGAUGAUUUCCAUGUUUUCCAUAUAGAUGCACUGUGUAAUGCCUCGUUUCAUACAGAGAUGGGAUUAUGUUCUUGUUUGCAAAGUAAACAUUUCAUGGGGCAAAACUUAAGUUUGAAAUGAAGUUUAUGCGGGAAUGUUUUAGUGGGUGGAUGCAUCUAGUGUGAUUAAGUUAGUCCUUUAAGUGUUAAGUAUGGGGUAUUUGUAUGUAAAUGAUAGGUUUGGUAUUUCAAAUGGUUAUCCGAUAAGUUCGGUUAUCGCUAAUUAAAUCAAAUGAAUCUUUUUAGUGAAGUUGAAGAACUGCUUAGUAAUUGUUACAAUCUAUUAUAUUGAUUGAUAAAAUGUCCUAGGUGAAUAAUUAUGAUGGUAUUAAGUGUUUAUUGAAAAGCCUCGUUAUUAUAGUUAUGAAAUGGUGUUCAAAGUGUUAAGUAGAUGCAUAGCUUAACAAGGUUUAGGUUUAAGACGUGGAUUAGGCGCGAAGUGCCUUGGUGGAUAUAUAGGUCUAGUGUAAUUGAAGUAAUCCCCUUUAUGCGAUACAAUUGCGUCCCCUUUAUACGAUACAAUUGCAUUCACGUGUCUGUUAUAAACAUUGUGUGUAUGUGAUGAAGUCGGUAAAUUGCUUUAUUAGUCAUCAUGUUCAAUGUUAGUGGCCGAGUAAGUGUCAUGGUUGGAUAUUACUUGAUUUUUCAAGUAUUUGGAAUCGAAUAACAUCGAUAGGUAUUUUAAGUGAAAUAUGAAAAUUUGCAUAAUAAAAGAUGGGUAUAAGCACUUUAGGUCUUUCAUUUCUAAAGUUGUAGUCGAGUAGACUUAUAUAAUGUUUAAUGAUGCUCUACUUACUAAACUAAGUAGCGUGAUGUUUUAAUUAGUGGUGGAUUACACAGGUUAGUCGGGAAAACUAGCUUAGAUAGUUAAUUAAAUAUGCUUCCUUACUCUGCAUUGUUGGUAUUCAAAAAUAGUGAAUCAAAGUUUGACGAGACAUUUGAUAUUGGGUGCUAGCUGAAGUUGACAUAGGACUUGUGCUUAGUUUAUUAUCACUUGUUGUUUGGAUUAUAUGCGGUUAAACUAGAAAACGUGAUUAUUGUACUUGGUUAUAUGUCGAUACCUAGCAUUUGCUUAUGAAAUGACGUAAUGCCUUACCAUUAAGUGUUUGAUUCUUUACUGUGUAACAUCGCAAUAUUAUCUUGCGAUAUUCGUCUUGAUAUUCAUACAUGUGCAUCGUGCAUCUCAUGAGGUACGCUAGUUGAUCACGUGAUGUGAAGAACAAGAACUGGAUUAAUCUCAAGGUGAUGUGGAUGAUGAACCUGAAGAUGGAUGACCUGAACAAGUGUUAGACCAAAAGUUUUUCGUCAAGUGGACGUCAUCUAACCAACACUAACCUAGUGUUAUUCCAGGUACUAGAUUUGUGCUGCUGAGGAUGGUGCUAAGCGCCGGUGGGCAUGGCCUUCUGAUAGGUCUAAGUAGCUCUUCUAUACUUCUUAUUGAGGAUGGUCACUUAAGCUAGCAUAUAUUUUAAACUUAUAAAUAAUUUUUAACAUUUCAAAGUAUAUUCUUUGAAUCAUUUUUUGUAAUCACUCCAAUAAAUAUAAUGUAAAUUUGUUGUAACUUUUAACUUUUUGUAAUAAAGAAAUUCCGCUGCAAAA